UAACCAGGAUUCCCCUAGUAACUGCGAGUGAAGCGGGAUGAGCUCAAAUUUAAAAUCUGGCGGUCGUUGUGGCCGUCCGAGUUGUAGUCUGGAGAAGUGUUAUCCGCGUCGGACCGUGUACAAGUCUCCUGGAAUGGAGCGUCAUAGAGGGUGAGAAUCCCGUCCAUGACACGGACGCCCGAUGCUUUGUGAGGCACUCUCGAAGAGUCGAGUUGUUUGGGAAUGCAGCUCAAAAUGGGUGGUAAAUUCCAUCUAAAGCUAAAUAUUGGCGAGAGACCGAUAGCGAACAAGUACCGUGAGGGAAAGAUGAAAAGCACUUUGGAAAGAGAGUUAAAUAGUACGUGAAAUUGUUGAAAGGGAAACGCUUGAAGUCAGUCGCGUCCCGUGGAACUCAGCCUGGCUUCGGCCUGGUGUAUUUUCUAUGCGGACGGGUCAACAUCAGUUUUGGCCGGCGGAAAAAGGCAGAGGGAAUGUAGCGCCGCUUCGGCGGCGUGUUAUAGCCCUGUGUCAAAUACGCUGGCGGGGACUGAGGACUGCAGCACGCCCUUGUGGCCGGGGGUUCGCCCCACGUUCGUGCUUAGGAUGUUGGCAUAAUGGCUUUAAGCGACCCGUCUUGAAACACGGACCAAGGAGUCCAACAUGCUUGCGAGUGUUCGGGUGGUAAACCCUUGCGCGUAAUGAAAGUGAAAGUUGGGAGCCUCCGCAAGGGGGUGCACCGACGCCCGGCCCUGAAGUUCUCUGACGGUGCUGCGGUAGAGCAAGUAUGCUGGGACCCGAAAGAUGGUGAACUAUGCCUGAAUAGGGCGAAGCCAGAGGAAACUCUGGUGGAGGCUCGUAGCGAUUCUGACGUGCAAAUCGAUCGUCAAAUUUGGG
Molecule: ribosomal RNA, 873 nt
Filed under: Inonotus compositus
Lineage: Eukaryota; Fungi; Basidiomycota; Agaricomycetes; Hymenochaetales; Hymenochaetaceae
Description: LSU rRNA
Rfam family: Eukaryotic large subunit ribosomal RNA
Source: RNAcentral